UGGGGAAUUUUGGACAAUGGGCGCAAGCCUGAUCCAGCCAUGCCGCGUGCGGGAAGAAGGCCUUCGGGUUGUAAACCGCUUUUGUCAGGGAAGAAACGCUCUGGGCUAAUACCCUGGGGUAAUGACGGUACCUGAAGAAUAAGCACCGGCUAACUACGUGCCAGCAGCCGCGGUAAUACGUAGGGUGCAAGCGUUAAUCGGAAUUACUGGGCGUAAAGCGUGCGCAGGCGGUUAUGCAAGACAGAUGUGAAAUCCCCGGGCUCAACCUGGGAACUGCAUUUGUGACUGUAUAGCUAGAGUACGGUAGAGGGGGGAUGGAAUUCCGCGUGUAGCAGUGAAAUGCGUAGAUAUGCGGAGGAACACCGAUGGCGAAGGCAAUCCCCUGGACCUGUACUGACGCUCAUGCACGAAAGCGUGGGGAGCAAACAGGAUUAGAUACCCUCGUAGUCCCUGAGCGGGCUGGCAAGGCGCAU
This 473-nucleotide ribosomal RNA is filed under the name uncultured bacterium. Its description in RNAcentral is "bacterial SSU rRNA". It matches the Rfam family "Bacterial small subunit ribosomal RNA", at positions 355 to 825 of the family's 1533-position model. The record is from RNAcentral.